Long non-coding RNA from Mauremys reevesii (Reeves's turtle), 563 nucleotides. RefSeq lists it as uncharacterized. The record is from RefSeq and is a predicted model, not a curated record. The transcript is spliced from 3 exons. Lineage: Eukaryota; Metazoa; Chordata; Testudines; Geoemydidae.
CUGGAGAGGCGGACAUCCCACUGCUUCUGGGAGUUGCUUGAGGGGGUGAUUUUUGAAGCCUGUGAAAAUGGAGAGAGAAGGCCAGUCAUGUUAGAGAGAGGACAAGCUUCCCCACAGGGAUUUGAAGGAUUUCAAAACACUUCAGUAACUCCAAAACAAUGGAGGGCAGCAGCUAGGCAGCAGAUUUACUCUUCCCUUCACCAGCACUUCCCCUUCCACAUCUGCCACAAUUAUUGCAACUCCUUUCCUCCCCCAAGCCACACGUCACAAGCACCUGCCAAUCCUGAUGCAUCAGCAACGAACAAAGCAUGUCUAGUCAGGGCCGGCUCCAGCUUUUUUGCUGCCUCAAAUGGCGAAGAAAAAAAACAAAAACUGAGCAGCCGCUGACGAGUGAAGAGAGGGAGUGAAGGACCUGCCGCUGAAGACUCAGAUGUGCCGCCCCACUAACAGAUGGAGUGCCGCCCCUUUCUAUUGGCUGUCCCAGGCAUCUGCUUCCUUCACUGGUGCCUGGACCCAGCCCUGUGUCUAGUGUUACAGCCUGCAGGUUUUAGUAUCUAAUCUGA